GAGGGUAUAGCUCAAAUGGUAGAGCACAUGCUUAGCAUGCAUGAGGUCCCGGGUUCAAUGCCCAGUACCUCCU
RNAcentral lists this transfer RNA (73 nucleotides) under Camelus bactrianus (Bactrian camel). It matches the Rfam family "tRNA". From Rfam's summary of the family: Transfer RNA (tRNA) molecules are approximately 80 nucleotides in length. Their secondary structure includes four short double-helical elements and three loops (D, anti-codon, and T loops). Further hydrogen bonds mediate the characteristic L-shaped molecular structure. tRNAs have two regions of fundamental functional importance: the anti-codon, which is responsible for specific mRNA codon recognition, and the 3' end, to which the tRNAs corresponding amino acid is attached (by aminoacyl-tRNA synthetases). tRNAs cope with the degeneracy of the genetic code in two manners: having more than one tRNA (with a specific anti-codon) for a particular amino acid; and 'wobble' base-pairing, i.e. permitting non-standard base-pairing at the 3rd anti-codon position. Lineage: Eukaryota; Metazoa; Chordata; Mammalia; Artiodactyla; Camelidae. The record is from Rfam by way of RNAcentral. RNAcentral also lists the same sequence under 2 other names.